RNAcentral lists this ribosomal RNA (253 nucleotides) under uncultured bacterium. Its description in RNAcentral is "partial 16S ribosomal RNA". It matches the Rfam family "Bacterial small subunit ribosomal RNA", at positions 524 to 776 of the family's 1533-position model. The record is from RNAcentral.
UACGAGGGGGGCAAGCGUUGUUCGGAAUUAUUGGGCGUACAGGGCGCGUAGGCGGUGCGGUAAGUCACCUGUGAAAACUCUGGGCUCAACUCAGAGCCUGCAGGCGAAACUGCCGUGCUUGAGUGUGGGAGAGGUGCGUGGAAUUCCCGGUGUAGCGGUGAAAUGCGUAGAUAUCAGGAGGAACACCGAUGGCGAAGGCAGGUCUCUGGGCUGACACUGACGCUCAUGCACGAAAGCGUGGGGAGCAAACAGG